Molecule: ribosomal RNA, 254 nt
Filed under: uncultured bacterium
Lineage: Bacteria
Description: partial 16S ribosomal RNA
Rfam family: Bacterial small subunit ribosomal RNA
Source: RNAcentral
UACGGAGGGGGCUAGCGUUGUUCGGAAUUACUGGGCGUAAAGCGCGCGUAGGCGGACCUGCAAGUCGGGGGUGAAAGCCCGAGGCUCAACCUCGGAACUGCCUUCGAUACUGCGGGUCUCGAGUCCGGGAGAGGUGAGUGGAAUUCCUAGUGUAGAGGUGAAAUUCGUAGAUAUUAGGAAGAACACCAGUGGCGAAGGCGGCUCACUGGCCCGGUACUGACGCUGAGGCGCGAAAGCGUGGGGGAGCAAACAGG